CACGUUUAUUCUGCGUGGCGUACGACACGAGACGACAAUUCUCACCUCGUCGUCACACGACUCUUGUCACGCGAUUCUGGUUGUCGUCUCGAGUGAGGUGAGAGCUUCAUUUUCGAUGUGAGAAAGAGAAUGAACCAAAACAAAUGCGAUGUUCAUUCGCAGAUCUGUCAACCGGGAAGUGUUUCACGAUUACGUUCGAAUUAGAGCGUACUUAAUGAACAUCAACAAUAAUAUUUAAUUCUUUUAACAAAUAUUUCCAUUUUUAUUCAAUUAAAUCUGUAUUAAACUAUCAGAAAUCUUCAAUCAAAAUUACUUCUGUGUAAUAUGCAAAAAUGUUAUUAAGUUUUAGAAGGUUUACUUGAUUUUUUCUAUGCCGCAGUAUAUUUUUAUGUGUCGCCCUGAUUCCAACAACGGACGGUGUUUGUUUUCAGUCUUUUUUUGCAAGCGCAACACGGUGGUUGCGUUGGAUCUAGCUUUGGAUAUUUCCCCCGGAACGGAAUUCGGUAACAUUUUUCCUCCGGUUGAGUGGCAAUAGCGUAAAGUUCUUGAAUGAUCAACAUUUUCAAGAUGGAAUUGCAGAGUGCUAUACUCUGGUUGAAGGUCCGAAAGAUUGCCGAGAAAAGUCGGAACGGUAUGAAGGAUGCAGAUACCUGUUUUGCCGUCAGAGUUGAUGCUGCCCCGAAAGCAGGACGCGCUUUUAGAUUUGCAGCGGUAAAGUACAGCAAGGCCAUAUUGUGGAUGUGAUAGAGUUGCGUUUUAGCCGUUUUGGCUCGGAAUCGGUAGUAGAGAUGAGCAUGGACAAGAUUUCCGGACUGAUGCGGAGCUGCUGUGGAGAUGAUACUGAUGAUUUAAGAAGACAAGUGUUUUUUACGAAUAACCUGAAGGUUCUGAAUUUGAAGAAUGUUUGUGAAUAGGCAUUUCUUAUUUCUGAAUAAAAUGUUACGUCGCUUCUUGA
Molecule: long non-coding RNA, 955 nt
Organism: Aedes albopictus (Asian tiger mosquito)
Lineage: Eukaryota; Metazoa; Arthropoda; Insecta; Diptera; Culicidae
Exons: 2
Source: RefSeq, a predicted model, not a curated record